Molecule: long non-coding RNA, 640 nt
Filed under: Homo sapiens (human)
Lineage: Eukaryota; Metazoa; Chordata; Mammalia; Primates; Hominidae
Description: non-protein coding lnc-TFDP2-1:3
Source: RNAcentral
GUGCUGCUCCGCCGCCAAAGCUCGCGCGGGGGAAGCGGGGCUGUAGCUGGGCAGGGAGAGGGCGGACGAAAUCGGUAGCGAUCUCGGCUGCGGCGCUGCCGCAGCUGCCCGGCCCGCGGGGCGCGCCCUGACCCUUCAUCUUUGGGCAGGCUCGAGGGCGCGCGCACGGUUGGCGUUCUGGGGCCUCAAACUCCUGGGCCUUGACCGGGCAGGCCGCGUCUCCCCGGGUGUGAGUCCACCGGGACCCGGCCGCCGCCUAAGCGCGGGCGCCACAGAAGCGGCGGCGCCCGAAGACGCGCUCCUGGCUCGGCCCGACAGCCUCGCUUGGCCGCCAGUUCUUCUGCAGCCGAAGGCGGUAAAUACCUAGAAGUGGAAUUGCUGGGUCAUAUGGCAACAUUUCAUUUGUUGCAUUUCCAGUUUCCAAUACCAACUCACCUACAAAGAUUUUACCAAAAACCUUAGGACCAAUAAAUGUGAAUGUUGGACCCCAAAUGUAAACGAAGCAAAAAAGGAGAUAAAAAUGGGAAAGGCUUGAGACACUUUUCAAUGAAAGUGUGUGAGAAAGUUCAACGAAAAGGUACAACAUCGUACAAUGAAGUCGCUGAUGAGCUGGUGUCAGAGUUCACCAAUUCAAAUAACC